UACGGGGGGUGCGAGCGUUGUCCGGAAUCACUGGGCGUAAAGGGCGCGUAGGUGGUUUGAUAAGGGCGUGGUGAAAGUCCGGGGCUCAACCCCGGAUCUGCCGUGCCGACUGUCAAACUCGAGGGCUGUAGAGGCAGACGGAAUUCCGGGUGUAGCGGUGGAAUGCGUAGAGAUCCGGAGGAAGACCGGUGGCGAAGGCGGUCUGCUGGGCAGUUUCUGACACUGAGGCGCGACAGCGUGGGGAGCAAACAGG
This 253-nucleotide ribosomal RNA is filed under the name uncultured bacterium. RNAcentral describes it as "partial 16S ribosomal RNA". It matches the Rfam family "Bacterial small subunit ribosomal RNA", at positions 524 to 776 of the family's 1533-position model. The record is from RNAcentral.